GCUGUGAUGGCCGAGUGGCUAAGGUGUUGGACUAGAAAUCCAAUGGGCUCUUCCUUCACACGUUCAAACCCUGCUCACAGUG
RNAcentral lists this transfer RNA (82 nucleotides) under Mus musculus (house mouse). RNAcentral describes it as "tRNA-Ser (AGA) (tRNA-Ser-AGA-4-1)". It matches the Rfam family "tRNA". From Rfam's summary of the family: Transfer RNA (tRNA) molecules are approximately 80 nucleotides in length. Their secondary structure includes four short double-helical elements and three loops (D, anti-codon, and T loops). Further hydrogen bonds mediate the characteristic L-shaped molecular structure. tRNAs have two regions of fundamental functional importance: the anti-codon, which is responsible for specific mRNA codon recognition, and the 3' end, to which the tRNAs corresponding amino acid is attached (by aminoacyl-tRNA synthetases). tRNAs cope with the degeneracy of the genetic code in two manners: having more than one tRNA (with a specific anti-codon) for a particular amino acid; and 'wobble' base-pairing, i.e. permitting non-standard base-pairing at the 3rd anti-codon position. The record is from RNAcentral. Lineage: Eukaryota; Metazoa; Chordata; Mammalia; Rodentia; Muridae. RNAcentral also lists the same sequence under 1 other name.